UGCAGUCGACGGCAGCACGGGGGCACCCUGGUGGCGAGUGGCGAACGGGUUAGUAAUGCAUCGGAACGUAUCCUUAAGUGGGGGAUAACGCAUCGAAAGAUGCGCUAAUACCGCAUAAUCUCUGAGGAGAAAAGCAGGGGAUCGCAAGACCUUGCGCUUUUGGAGCGGCCGAUGUCUGAUUAGUUAGUUGGUGAGGUAAAGGCUUACCAAGGCUUCGAUCAGUAGCUGGUCUGAGAGGACGACCAGCCACACUGGGACUGAGACACGGCCCAGACUCCUACGGGAGGCAGCAGUGGGGAAUUUUGGACAAUGGGGGCAACCCUGAUCCAGCCAUGCCGCGUGAGUGAAGAAGGCCUUCGGGUUGUAAAGCUCUUUCAGCCGGAACGAAACGGUCACGGUUAAUAACUGUGAUCACUGACGGUACCGGAAGAAGAAGCACCGGCUAACUACGUGCCAGCAGCCGCGGUAAUACGUAGGGUGCGAGCGUUAAUCGGAAUUACUGGGCGUAAAGCGUGCGCAGGCGGUUUUGUAGUCAGAUGUGAAAUCCCCGGGCUUAACCUGGGAACUGCGUUUGAAACUACAAGGCUAGAGU
Molecule: ribosomal RNA, 592 nt
Filed under: uncultured Nitrosospira sp.
Lineage: Bacteria; Pseudomonadati; Pseudomonadota; Betaproteobacteria; Nitrosomonadales; Nitrosomonadaceae
Description: bacterial SSU rRNA
Rfam family: Bacterial small subunit ribosomal RNA
Source: RNAcentral